RNAcentral lists this ribosomal RNA (1185 nucleotides) under Bacillus safensis. RNAcentral describes it as "bacterial SSU rRNA". It matches the Rfam family "Bacterial small subunit ribosomal RNA", at positions 36 to 1205 of the family's 1533-position model. Lineage: Bacteria; Bacillati; Bacillota; Bacilli; Caryophanales; Bacillaceae. The record is from RNAcentral.
CCCGGGGCUGCUAUACAUGCAAGUCGAGCGGACAGAAGGGAGCUUGCUCCCGGAUGUUAGCGGCGGACGGGUGAGUAACACGUGGGUAACCUGCCUGUAAGACUGGGAUAACUCCGGGAAACCGGAGCUAAUACCGGAUAGUUCCUUGAACCGCAUGGUUCAAGGAUGAAAGACGGUUUCGGCUGUCACUUACAGAUGGACCCGCGGCGCAUUAGCUAGUUGGUGGGGUAAUGGCUCACCAAGGCGACGAUGCGUAGCCGACCUGAGAGGGUGAUCGGCCACACUGGGACUGAGACACGGCCCAGACUCCUACGGGAGGCAGCAGUAGGGAAUCUUCCGCAAUGGACGAAAGUCUGACGGAGCAACGCCGCGUGAGUGAUGAAGGUUUUCGGAUCGUAAAGCUCUGUUGUUAGGGAAGAACAAGUGCGAGAGUAACUGCUCGCACCUUGACGGUACCUAACCAGAAAGCCACGGCUAACUACGUGCCAGCAGCCGCGGUAAUACGUAGGUGGCAAGCGUUGUCCGGAAUUAUUGGGCGUAAAGGGCUCGCAGGCGGUUUCUUAAGUCUGAUGUGAAAGCCCCCGGCUCAACCGGGGAGGGUCAUUGGAAACUGGGAAACUUGAGUGCAGAAGAGGAGAGUGGAAUUCCACGUGUAGCGGUGAAAUGCGUAGAGAUGUGGAGGAACACCAGUGGCGAAGGCGACUCUCUGGUCUGUAACUGACGCUGAGGAGCGAAAGCGUGGGGAGCGAACAGGAUUAGAUACCCUGGUAGUCCACGCCGUAAACGAUGAGUGCUAAGUGUUAGGGGGUUUCCGCCCCUUAUUGCUGCACCUAACGCAUUAAGCACUCCGCCUGGGGAGUACGGUCGCAAGACUGAAACUCAAAGGAAUUGACGGAGGCCCGCACAAACCGUGAACCAUGUGGUUUAUUUCAAAACAACGCGGAAAAACCUUACCAGGGCUUGACAUCCUCUGACAACCCUACAGAAAGGGCUUUCCCUUCCGGGACAAAGUGAAAAGUGGUGCAUGGUUUUCUUCCCCUCCUUCCUGAAAAUGUUGGUUUAAUUCCGCCACCACCGCCACCCCUGAUCUUUUGUUCCCCCAUUUUNNUUGNUCCUUUGGGGGGGAAUCCCCGGGGACNNACCCGGAAAAAAGGGGGGGGGGGGGGGAGUGUACCCCCCGUUAAC